GCCUAAAAUCUAGCCCAUAAAACCCCCAUGACCUCACCAACCUUCCAAUUUAUAAACAAAACAUUUUAACAUUUUAGUACAGGAGAUCAAAAAAUUACUAAGCGCUUCAGAUAAAGUACCGAAAGGGAAAGAUGAAAUAAAAAUGAAAUAACGUUAAAGCCCUAAACAGUAGAGACUUCCCCUCG
RNAcentral lists this ribosomal RNA (185 nucleotides) under Sylvirana guentheri. Its description in RNAcentral is "partial 16S ribosomal RNA". Lineage: Eukaryota; Metazoa; Chordata; Amphibia; Anura; Ranidae. The record is from RNAcentral.